Molecule: ribosomal RNA, 301 nt
Filed under: uncultured bacterium
Lineage: Bacteria
Description: partial 16S ribosomal RNA
Rfam family: Bacterial small subunit ribosomal RNA
Source: RNAcentral
CAGCAGCCGCGGGAAUACGAAGGGUGCAAGCGUUACUCGGAAUUACUGGGCGUAAAGCGUGCGUAGGUGGUGGUUUAAGUCCGUUGUGAAAGCCCUGGGCUCAACCUGGGAAUUGCAGUGGAUACUGGGUCACUAGAGUGUGGUAGAGGAUAGUGGAAUUUCCGGUGUAGCGGUGAAAUGCGUAGAUAUGCGGAGGAACAUCAGUGGCGAAGGCGGCCAUCUGGGACAACACUGACGCUGAGGCACGAAAGCGUGGGGAGCAAACAGGAUUAGAUACCCGCGUAGUCCCUGUCUCUUAUAC